GUGACAUCGUCUUUAAACCCUGCGUGGCAAUCCCUGACGCACCGCCGUGAUGCCCAGGGAAGACAGGGCGACCUGGAAGUCCAACUACUUCCUUAAGAUCAUCCAACUAUUGGAUGAUUAUCCGAAAUGUUUCAUCGUGGGAGCAGACAAUGUGGGCUCCAAGCAGAUGCAGCAGAUCCGCAUGUCCCUUCGCGGGAAGGCCGUGGUGCUGAUGGGCAAGAACACCAUGAUGCGCAAGGCCAUCCGAGGGCACCUGGAAAACAACCCAGCUCUGGAGAAACUGCUGCCUCAUAUCCGGGGGAAUGUGGGCUUUGUGUUCACCAAGGAGGACCUCACUGAGAUCAGGGACAUGUUGCUGGCCAAUAAGGUAAGGGGACAAUUGGGUUGGCUAAAGAGACUUUGUAGUUGCUCCUUAAAGCAAAAUGGACCAUUCUCAGGUUGUAUGAGUGGAGAGGCUUUUCUCACUGGUUGUUGUCUUUGUCAGGUGCCAGCUGCUGCCCGUGCUGGUGCCAUUGCCCCAUGUGAAGUCACUGUGCCAGCCCAGAACACUGGUCUCGGGCCCGAGAAGACCUCCUUUUUCCAGGCUUUAGGUAUCACCACUAAAAUCUCCAGGGGCACCAUUGAAAUCCUGGUGAGUGGACCUGGUUUGCCUGUGCUAGACAGGCAAAUGGGGAGCUGCUUUUAGUGGCCAUGGAUCUGCUGGUUGUCCAACAGGUGUUUACUGCCCCACUAUUAUCUUGUUCAGAGUGAUGUGCAGCUGAUCAAGACUGGAGACAAAGUGGGAGCCAGCGAAGCCACACUGCUGAACAUGCUCAACAUCUCCCCCUUCUCCUUUGGGCUGGUCAUCCAGCAGGUGUUCGACAAUGGCAGCAUCUACAACCCUGAAGUGCUUGAUAUCACAGAGGAAACUCUGCAUUCUCGCUUCCUGGAGGUACAUGCUCUCAGCCUUGCCCCCUCUUACACUGAUGGUUGAGAGCAUGACAAGGUUCAGACUGAGUCCCUGUAACCAAGGACUGUGUUUUCAUCUGUCUACCUACCUCAUCUGUAAAAUGUCAAUAACAACAUAAGUUUGUUGAAGGAAUUUUUUUUUUUUUUUUUUGAGACACUUUUGCUCUGUUGCCCAGG
Molecule: small RNA, 1125 nt
Filed under: Pongo abelii (Sumatran orangutan)
Lineage: Eukaryota; Metazoa; Chordata; Mammalia; Primates; Hominidae
Description: retained intron
Source: RNAcentral